GACGAACCGUGCGAACGUUGUUCGGAAUCACUGGGCUUAAAGGGCGCGUAGGCGGGCGAGCGAGUCGGAGGUGAAAUCCCACGGCUCAACCGUGGAACUGCUGGGUAUACUGGCGAUCUUGAGCCACCUAGGGGCGAGCGGAACAAGCGGUGGAGCGGUGAAAUGCGUAGAUAUCGCUUGGAACGCCAAUGGUGAAAACAGCUCGCUGGGGGUGUGCUGACGCUGAGACACGAAAGCCAGGGGAGCGAACGGG
This 253-nucleotide ribosomal RNA is filed under the name uncultured bacterium. RNAcentral's name for it is "partial 16S ribosomal RNA". It matches the Rfam family "Bacterial small subunit ribosomal RNA", at positions 524 to 776 of the family's 1533-position model. The record is from RNAcentral.